UGAUAUCCUAUCCGCGAAAGAAAAGAAAAACAAACGGGACAGUACAAUUUAUAACAUCAAAGCUCGUCUAUCCAGGUAAAUAAAACUCGUCUGUCCAGGUAAAAGCAUCAAACAGUUAAGUUUUUUUGCAUAGCAUAUUUUGUUUUAAUCACGCCUCAGCAUUUGGGAAACUUCAUUGUUAUACAUGAAUAAUCUGACUUCAGCUAUAGCUGUGUACAAGUGAAAUCGCCACCUGAUCAAAUCGGCACCCAUAGUAAAAGUCCAAUCGGCACUCAUUUAAAAGUUAAUUCGGUAUCCAAUAUGUAUAUAAUAAAUAUACAAAUCUUCAAGCUUGUUUUUCAAGUGACUACUGGGAAAAAUGAUGUAUAACAUGGGUGCUGAAAUGACAACACCUAGUGCCAAUUAAACCAGGUGUCGAUUUGACCAGAUGCUAAUUUAACCAAGUGCUGAUUUAACUAGUAUUAAGCUAGCUGAAGUCAAAUAGUCAUCGGAAAGUAUCAGGCUAUUGUAAGAUCUUAAUUUAAAAGAGAGACGGGAGAGGAGAGAACCAAUUAUGGACAUUUAAAGCCACAGUCGAAGAAAAGUUGACAAUGAAUCCAUGACAUUGACAAAUCGCUACACAUCAAGUCGCCCUACUUUUUUUGACCAAAUCGCCCCAAUUUCAGAAAAAUCACCCCACUUUGCAGUGAUGUCCUUAAAAGCCGGCUAUUUUUGCAGGAGUAAAAAAAAAUAAUAAAGAUAAAAAGAUAGUCAGGUUAAUAUUAAAAAAUAAUUGCUCAAUGUAUCAGCUUCCCACAUGAUUAAAGUCUCAAUAAACAAGGAUGUAAAUCAGUGUUUACCUUUGACAAAAUAUAGUUCAUGUAAAUGCAGUCCACUGAUUGGUCGUCUAUUUAAAGUCGGAAAGUAUUGUAUGUUUGCAAGGAUAAAAAGAGAGAUGUUCCGAUGGACAUUACGACCCUGUUCGGUUUUGGCGUCUAGAGAAGGAAUAAGCCAAAGAUGACAAUAGCAUGUUAUGAAAAUACAUCAGUCAAAUAAAAGAAAGUAUAAUAUAUAAUGUUGUCAAAAAUCUGGAAAUCACCACCUUUUGUAGUUCACAUUUCAAAGCCCACAACCACAUGGUGUCCAGAGAAUGAAGGUCAAUAACGAAAGUAGAAUAUUGUCAACCACAAAUAAUUUUUAAAAAUAUCUUUAGUUCAAAAGGAUUUUAGUUUACUGCUUACUGGACAGUUAAUCAAAUAAGAAAAAAAUAAAAGGACAUAGCUUGACAACAUGUUUCAAAUACGUGUACAAGUCUUAUGAGAACAAAGGGGGUCAUUUGUCACUAAGUACGUACGCAAAAUAAAUCGUCCAAGAUAUUUGAUAAAUUCGAUUAUUAUUGAAAUAAAAUUUUUUUAACCUAUUAUUUACCUAUAUUCAAGAACAGACUUCCUUAGUUGUCUUACAAAAGAGCACCUUCCCAACCAAAAAAAAUCAAUAUAGAUUAACCUUGCCAGGACUGCGGAUUACCAUUUUUUAUUUUUUUUUUCAAAUGUGAUUGAAGUCAACAACAAAAAUAAGACAAAAUUUACAUUUUCCCAAGCAUCUAAAUCACUCCCAGGUAUGCUCAGAAUGCAGGAUUUUUAGUCUAAAUUUCAAAUCUUUUUGGGGAGAGCAUACGAUAUUAUAAAAUAUAGCAACUCUGUAACAGUUUUAACUUUGAAAUCGAAGCUCCAGCUGACUACUAGUCAGGGAAUAUUGUUUUUAAUUUAGUAUAAAAAACAAAACCAACACGGGGUCCUUUAGAAAAUUACUUUAACUAGCAUAUAUAUAUGUAGCAUGUUAGUUUAAGCAAUUUAUCUAAUACUGGUUUCAUCUAACAAAUUUACCCUGUAGUCAAAAUAGUUGUCUAUAAAAAAUAUGCAUUAUGAUAUGAUAUUAUAUUUAAUUUAAAAAGGGAAUAAAAAUUGGUAAAAGCAAUAAAUCAACAGAAAAAAAUUAUUUGAACAAGUGUGCUUUGCACAGUUGUGAGAUUUGAUGAUGCUUCAAUUUCUGAAUAUUUAAAAAAUGCUACAAAUAUCAUGAAUUUCUUUAUCUCAGGGUCAUUUAAGAAUUUUGGUAAAGAAAUACAUUUUGAAACAUGGGAAGGACUUCAUACACUGAUUUAACAUAUUCCUCUCUGAUCUGUGUUUUUACAUUGUCAAGCUAAGGCAGCAACCAUUUGAUUUUCUGGGGGGGGGGGGGGGGGGGGGGGCUAUGGUUUUUUUUGGAAAAAAAAGUUUGUUUCCAGAUUUUGGAGAAAAAAAUUAUUUGUUUUUGAUUCUGAGAAAAAAAAUUGUUUGUUUCACCCUCAGCUGCCACUAUAUGUAAUGCUAAAAUUGAAAGAAAAAAAUUGUUUUCGACUUGUCGCAAAAAAAAUAGAUUGUUUUUCGCCGCAGUCGAGAAAAAAAGUUUGCACAGAAAAAAAAACCAUAGCCCCCCCCAGAAAAUCAAAUGGUUGCUGCCUAACAUCUGGUUUGAGAGAAACAUGUUUUUAUACCUAGAGGUAUAGGGGAAGGGUUGAGAUCUCAUAAACAUGUUUAACUCCUCCCAAAUUGUGCACCUGUCCCAAGUGAGGAGCCUCUGGCCUUUGUAAGCCUUGUAUGAAUUUUGGGGAAAGACUACUUCAAGCCGUCAAUUUCCUAUGUGGUUGGCCAGAGUUCCAAGCCCUCAUGUCAAUCAUUUUGUUUUAAUAGUUUGGAAACCCCUCAAAAUAUCAUACUGAAAUUGAUAAGAAGGAGAACAGAUUGACUUUAAACAUUUUUUUUAACACAUUUCCCUUCUGUUUCUCGUGAAAUUAUCGUAUAUAUAUUGAGCUUUCCCUUACACUAUAUAUAUUACGUUUCUUUUACAACCCAGAAAAAUCAGUAUUACGAAAUUUUCUAAAUAUAUCUAACCUAGCUAUAUAUACAUGUAUAGUGACAUCAUUGUUGGAAUGCCACACUACACUGGGAUAUAUCCUUUACUCAUUAUAAAAAUCAUUCACAGUAUUUGUAUACUAAUUUUAAAUCGGUAUUUGUUUAAUUUAAACCUAAUGAUGUUUGCUGUAGUGUAGAUGAUUCACACACCAACAUGCAAUGCUUUAAUCUGAGGCUAUAAUUUGUAGGUCAACUUUCGCGGUAAACAAUGUCAAUGAGGAUACAUUUGUACAUGAGAUUGGGGAGAGAAACAGCAGUUUUCAUUCUUUCUGUAAAGUUCUGUUUUGAUAAUCUUCCUCCAAUACAGGAGCACCUCAAUUGAUGAGUAAUUAUCCACUAAUAUAAAAGAAAAUGUAUCUGAACACUUAAAAUGUGACAUUUAGUAUCUGAUAAGUAGUCUUCUAUUAAAACAAAAUUUUGUGUACCAACAUAAUUAUGGUAAUGGUUAAAAAUAAAAAAAAUUAAAAUGUUGUUUUUUGUAGUUUAUACCUAUUGAGAUUGGGGAGAGCAACUGCAGUUUUCAUUCUUUCUGUAAAAUUAUGUUUUUAGAAUCUUUCUCCAAUUUAGGAGCACCUCAAUUGAUGAGUAAUUAUCAACUAAAAUGAAAGUAAAUGUAUCUGAACACUAAAAAUGUGACAUUAAGUAUAUGAUAAGUAGUCUUCCAUUAAAACAAAAUUGUGUGUACCAACAUAAUUAUGGAAAUGGUAAUUUUUUUUUCAUUAUUUUUUAAAUGUUGCUUUUUGUAGUUUAAACCUAUUUAUUCAUGAAAUUUACAAAUAUAUCAAAAUGUAGGAUCUGAAACAAGCUUCACACAGCUUAUAUCAAUCAUGUGGUUUUUAUAAUACAUGUAUCCCUGUGAUGAGAGUUGUAACUGGAAACUUUAUCAAUGGAAAAUUAAAACUGAAUAGAUUUUUCAGUCCUCACUUUCUUGAGAAAAAAAUUAAAAACUCUUGAGAGUACUGUUACAAAAAAUAGAGAAUGUUCCUAGCCUGCCCUUCAACGGUACACAAUUAAAAUUCUAAAAUAUAUUGUAGUAGUUGUUAAAUUCAAUUGAAUUUUAGACAAUGAACUCCCAACUUUAAUCAAAUGUUUUGAUUUAGAAGGUGCAGAUCUCAUUGGUCCAAAUUGACGCCAUGAUGAAUUCUUGACUAAGGAAAUGAAUUAACAAUAAACAACAAUGAGUUUCAUUAUUGUCAAACUUUCUACGUGUUCUAGCUGUUCUUUUGCUCAUUCUUUGUACGUUGAUUAUCAAAAGAUACCCCCCAAAAAUAGAAACAAUGGCCGUCUUUUCCCUCAGAGCUCUUCAGCUCUUUGAUUAAUUUUAGUUUCUUGUGUAUAAUUCAGAGUUUAGUAUGACGUCCAUUAUCACUGUACUAGUAUACAUAUUUUUUAAGGGGCCAGCUAAAGGACGCCUCCGGGUGCUCGAGUUUCUUGCUACAUUGAAGACCCAUUGUUUACCUUCGGCUGUUGUCUGCUCUAUGGUCGGGUUGUUGUCGCUUUGACACAUUCCCCAUUUCCUUUCUCAAUUUUAUUUUAAAAACAAAACUAAAAUUUAUAAAUCUGAAACCACUGUCUUCAGCAGGAACUGAACAAGUUAGAUACUGUUGAAAUCUUUACACCCAUUCUCGGUAGAACUAAUCUGUGAAUCUCUGUAUCCAGCAGGUACAGAACAGGUCUGUCAAUAAUUUUCUGAAUCCACCAUUUUACCCCCUUUCCGUAGGAGAAACAGACCCAGUCAAUGUUUCUGAAUCUAUACAGACUCUGUAAUUUGAAUGGAACCAGUUAAUUAUUCUUUGAAACUGUACACUGCAUAAGAAGGAUUACUUAUAUCCUUUCUCUGUCUGAAGCAGAACCAGUCAGUAUUUUCAAAAUCUAUAAUCUAUAUAUAUUUUGUACUAGUAAUAUCAAAAUAACAAGGUCCAAUUUGUUAGCCGGUGUCAUAUGGUAUUUUGAACCCCCUAAAAAGUGAACCCGGGGUCAAAAUACCAUGCGGUAAAAUGACCCCGGGGUCAUUAACCGCAUGGUAUUUUGACCCCGGGGUCAUUUUUCACAUAUGGUAUUUUGAACCCCCGGUAUUUUGAAACCCCCUGUUUUUGAUAAAUAGUAUUGCAGAUAAUCUAAUUUCAAUUUAUUGGCUAUCAUUUUUUUAAUUUGUGGUUUAAGAAGGGGGUUUCAAUAUACCGCAGGGGGUCAAAAUACCAUGGCUAAGCAAAUUUUCAAAUAUCUUUUCCAGUUUAUUAAAUACAUACAAACUACUUAUUGGAGUAUUAUAACUAUGUUAAAGGAGUUAGAAUAGCUUGAAUUUUUUGAAAUUCAAGGUCUAUAGUAGGGGGUUCAAUAUACGCAGGGGGUUCAAAUACCACGGCUAAGUAAAAUUUUUCAAAAUAUCUUUUCCAGUAUAUAAAUCUAUACAAACUACUUAUUGGAGUAUUAUAAUAUGUUAUGGAGUUAGAAUAGCUUGAAAUUUUUGAAAUUCAAGGUCUAUAGUAGGGGGCAAUCAAUAUACCGCAGGGGGGUCAAAAUACCAUGGCUAAGUAAAAUUUUCAAAAUAUCUUUUCCAGUAUAUUAAAUACAUACAAACUACUUAUUGGAGUAUUAUAACUAUGUAAUGAAGUUAGAAUAGCUUGAAUUUUUGAAAUUCAAGGUCUAUUGUAGGGGGUUCAAUAUACCGCAGGGGGGUCAAAAUACCAUGGCUAAGUAAAAUUUUCAAAAAUAUCUUUUCCAGUUUUUAAAUACAUACAAACUACUUUUGGAGUAUUAUAACUAUGUUAUGGAGUUAGAAUAGCUUGAAUUUUUGAAAUUCAAGGUCUAUAGUAGGGGGUUCAAUAUACUCGCAGGGGGGUCAAAAUACCAUGGCUAAGUAAAAUUUUCAAAAUAUCUUUUCCAGUAUAUCAAAUACUAUACAAACUACUUAUUGGAGUAUUAUAACUAUGUUAAUGGAGUUAGAAUAGCUUGAAUUUUUGAAAUUCAAGGUCUAUAGUAGGGGGUUCAAUAUACCGCAGGGGGGUCAAAAUACCAUGGCUAAGUAAAAUUUUCAAAAUAUCUUUUCCAGUAUAUUAAAUACAUACAAACUACUUAUUGGAGUAUUAUAACUAUGUAAUGAGUUAGAAUAGCUUGAAUUUUUGAAAUUCAAGGUCUAUGUAGGGGUUCAAUAUACCGCAGGGGGGGUCAAAAUACCAUGGCUAAGUAAAAUUUUCAAAAUAUCUUUUCCAGUUUAUUAAAUACAUACAAACUACUUAUUGGAGUAUUAUAACUAUGUUAUGGAGUUAGAAUAGCUUGAAUUUUUGAAAUUCAAGGUCUAUAGUAGGGGGUUCAAUAUAUCGCAGGGGGGUCAAAAUACCAUGGCUAAGUAAAAUUUUCGAAACAUCUUUUCCAGUAUAUCAAAUACUAUACAAACUACUUAUUGGAGUAUUAUAACUAUGUUAUGGAGUUAGAAUAGCUUGAAUUUUUGAAAUUCAAGGUCUAUAGUAGGGGGUUCAAUAUACCGCAGGGGGGUCAAAAUACCAUGGCUAAGUAAAAUUUUCAAAACAUCUUUUCCAGUAUAUCAAAUCUAUACAAACUACUUAUUGGAGUAUUAUAACUAUGUUAUGGAGUUAGAAUAGCUUGAAUUUUUGAAAUUCAAGGUCUAUAGUAGGGGGUUCAAUAUACCGCAGGGGGUCAAAAUACCAUGGCUAAGUAAAAUUUUCAAAACAUCUUUUCCAGUAUAUCAAAUCUAUACAAACUACUUAUUGGAGUAUUAUAACUAUGUAUCGAAGUUAGAAUAGCUUGAAUUUUUCAAAUUCAAUGUCUAUUGUAGGGGGUUCAAUAUACCGCAGGGGGGUCAAAAUACCAUGGCUAAGUAAAAUUUUCAAAAUAUCUUUUCCAAUUUAUUAAAUACAUACAAACUACUUAUUGGAGUAUUAUAACUAUGUUAAGGAGUUAGAAUAGCUUGAAUUUUUGAAAUUCAAGGUCUAUAGUAGGGGGUUCAAUAUACCGCAGGGGGGUCAAAAUACCAUGGCUAAGAAAAAAUUUUCAAAACAUCUUUUUCCAGUAUAUCAAAUCUAUAAAAACUACUUAUUGGAGUAUUAUAACUAUGUUAUGGAGUUAGAAUAGCUUGAAUUUUUGAAAUUCAAGGUCUAUAGUAGGGGGUUCAAUAUACCGCAGGGGGGUCAAAAUACCAUGGCUAAGUAAAAUUUUCAAAAUAUCUUUUCCAGUAUAUCAAAUCUAUACAAACUACUUAUUGGAGUAUUAUAACUAUGUUAUGGAGUUAGAAUAGCUUGAAUUUUUGAAAUUCAAGGUCUAUAGUAGGGGGUUCAAUAUACCGCAGGGGGGUCAAAAUACCAUGGCUAAGUAAAAUUUUCAAAAACAUCUUUUCCAGUAUAUCAAAUCUAUACAAACUACUUAUUGGAGUAUUAUAACUAUGUAAUGAAGUUAGAAUAGCUUGAAUUUUUGAAAUUCAAUGUCUAUUGUAGGGGGUUCAAUAUACCGCAGGGGGGUCAAAAUACCAUGGCUAAGUAAAAUUUUCAAAACAUCUUUUCCAGUAUAUCAAAUCUAUAGAAACUACUUAUUGGAGUAUUAUAACUAUGUUAUGGAGUUAGAAUAGCUUGAAUUUUUGAAAUUCAAGGUCUAUAGUAGGGGGUUCAAUAUACCGCAGGGGGGUCAAAAUACCAUGGCUAAGUAAAAUUUUCAAAACAUCUUUUCCAGUAUAUCAAAUCUAUAGAAACUACUUUUUGGAGUAUUAUAACUAUGUUAUGGAGUUAGAAUAGCUUGAAUUUUUGAAAUUCAAGGUCUAUAGUAGGGGGUUCAAUAUACCGCAGGGGGGUCAAAAUACCAUGGCUAAGUAAAAUUUUCAAAAUAUCUUUUCCAGUAUAUCAAAUCUAUACAAACUACUUAUUGGAGUAUUAUAACUAUGUAAUGAAGUUAGAAUAGCUUGAAUUUUUGAAAUUCAAGGUCUAUAGUAGGGGGUUCAAUAUACCGCAGGGGGGUCAAAAUACCAUGGCUAUUGAACCCCCUACUCUAGGCCUUUAAUUUCAGAAAUUCUGGCAAUUUGAACUUUUUUAUGUAGUUAGAAUACACCAAUAAGUAGUUUGUAUGUAUUAAACUUGCUGGAAAAGAUAUUUUGAAAAUUUUACUUUGCCAUGGUAUUUUGACCCCCCUGCGGUAUAUUGAACCCCCUACUCUAGGCUUUUAAUUUCAGAAAUUCUGGCAAUUUGAACUCUUUUAUGUAGUAAGAAUACACCAAUAAGUAGUUUGUAUGUAUUAAACUUGCUGGAAAAGAUAUUUUGAAAAUUUUACUUUGCCAUGGUAUUUUGACCCCCCUGCGGUAUAUUGAACCCCCUACUCUAGGCCUUUAAUUUCAGAAAUUCUGGCAAUUUGAACUCUUUUAUGUAGUAAGAAUACACCACUAAGUAGUUUGUAUUUAUUAAACUUGCUGGAAAAGAUAUUUUUAAAAUUCUACUUUACCAUGGUAUUUUGACCCCCUCCCCCUUUUUUACCAUGGAAAAUCAAAACUACCCUUAUAUAUAUAUAUAUAUAUACAUAUGUUAUAAUUACAAAUAAUUAAAGCAUUCAAGCUACAUAUGGUCUAGUUAUAAUGUGUCAAUAAGUAUUUUGAAUGACAUUUUGUUGGUAAAGAUUUCAGAGCACUUAUACCAAGCAAAGAUAUUUCUUUUAAUUUUAAGCAUGGAAAAUGUACCUCCCCUUCUUGUAUGAAUGAUUUUUUAAUCUAUGAUAAGCUAUAGAAUAAUGUAAAAUGUUCUAAUAUUCAUCGAGGAUGAAAAAAACAGGGGGGUUCAAUUUACCAUGGGGGUUCAAUUUUCCAUACAGGGGGGGUUCAAUUUACCAUGGGGGGGGUUCAAUUUACCAUAGCGGUAUUUUGACCCCGGGGUCAAUUUACCAUGGGGUUCAAAAUACCAUAUGACACCGGCAUGACAAAUCAAAGAAUUCUACUUUAUAUUUAACUAAUACACAACAAUGGUGUAGAAUAAAAAGUACACAAUGACAAGCCCUUUUGUUUUCCACAUACCGCUUAUUUAUAAUCAUAAUCACAAGCUGCGAGUCAAAUCCAAUACAGAUACCAAUAGUAUAAAAUGCUAAAAUGAGAUAUAGGCACUUUUAUUCACUUCAGUCACAGAUCAGCGAUGUUGCAAGUGUGUUCUAGUAUAAGCAAUGAUUUAAACCAAGGAAAUUCAAUGACUAUUUUAAAAGGAAAAUACUUCAAAGGCACUUGUAUAACCACUGUGUUAGUACAUGUAAUACCUACUGAUGGUGGUCAUUUAUAAAGAUGACAAGCUUUACUUCACCAUGUUACUAUGUUAUAUGUAUAUAAUUUAAUUUUGGAUGUAACACGUCUUUUGAUUGGCUGACGUUAUUUUGUUAUGAGCCCAUAGACAUAAUUUAGUCAUGUGACCGUGACGUCAUUAACGUUUUUUUCAAGGUUUUCUACGGUUUAAAAUGAAUUUAGAAUUAAAUUAUAAGAAAUGGCUGUAAUAUUUUUUCUGUCUAUUCGAAAUAGCAUAAAAAAUGUGGUGCACACUGUUAAAUAACCCGCUACGCGUGUUAUUCAGUGUGCACCACAUUUUUUUUAUGUUAUUUCUUCAUAGACAGAAAAAAUAUUACAGUCAUUCCUUAAAAGUACAAAAUGUUCAAUGUAUAUAUAUACUGUUCCUGAACAAACUGUUACUGAUAACACCGUUUCUUCUUUCAAUAUAACUUACUACCAUGAUGCACAAACCAUGAAAAUACAAUACAUGUGUUGAUUAAAUAGCCACAAUUGAGCUGUGUAAUUUUUCCAAAGAAUGCAACCAAUUAGUUUAUUAAUUAAUCUGAAGCCAGUUUAAUUGGAGGACUAGUCAUCUUUAAUGAAGAUCUGAUAGAAUUCUUUCUCUUUUUAGGGCAAUCCACCUGUUCACAAAGAAGUAUAGGGUGUAAAUGAAGGGCACUUUUGUUGUAUGGGUCGAAGGAAAAGUUAAGGUAGGACCAUCUAUCAACUAUUUGUAAUCAGGUGUUCCCCCUACAGCAAAUCAUUCAACUUCACCA
This 9950-nucleotide long non-coding RNA is filed under the name Mytilus galloprovincialis (Mediterranean mussel). Lineage: Eukaryota; Metazoa; Mollusca; Bivalvia; Mytilida; Mytilidae. The record is from RNAcentral.